Molecule: unclassified non-coding RNA, 362 nt
Filed under: uncultured fungus
Lineage: Eukaryota; Fungi
Description: partial contains 5.8S ribosomal RNA and internal transcribed spacer 2
Rfam family: 5.8S ribosomal RNA (bases 1-133)
Source: RNAcentral
UGGCUCUCGCAUCGAUGAAGAACGCAGCGAAAUGCGAUAAGUAAUGUGAAUUGCAGAAUUCAGUGAAUCAUCGAAUCUUUGAACGCACCUUGCGCUCCUUGGUAUUCCGAGGAGCAUGCCUGUUUGAGUGUCAUGGUAUUCUCAAUUCUCUCAGCUUUUGCUGAGAUGAUAUUGGACUUGGAGGUUAUUGCCGGUAUUCUUGUGAAAUCGGCUCCUCUCAAAUGCAUCAGUGUGAAUAUUCACUUCAUACUCAGUGUGAUAAUUAUCUAUGCUGUGUGUGAGUGAUAGGACUUCAUGCUUCGAACUGUCGCAAGACAAUCUCUUUGACUUCUGACCUCAAAUCAGGUAGGAUUACCCGCUGA